This is a microRNA precursor of Carassius auratus (goldfish), 60 nucleotides long. Ensembl annotates it as microRNA 17. Its record names the gene mir17a-1. The record is from Ensembl. NCBI's taxonomy places the organism in Eukaryota, Metazoa, Chordata, Actinopteri, Cypriniformes, Cyprinidae.
CAAAGUGCUUACAGUGCAGGUAGUAUUAUGGAAUAUCUACUGCAGUGGAGGCACUUCUAG